This 1441-nucleotide ribosomal RNA is filed under the name Stutzerimonas xanthomarina. RNAcentral's name for it is "bacterial SSU rRNA". It matches the Rfam family "Bacterial small subunit ribosomal RNA". The record is from RNAcentral. Lineage: Bacteria; Pseudomonadati; Pseudomonadota; Gammaproteobacteria; Pseudomonadales; Pseudomonadaceae.
GGGGUGGGGCGGCCUACCAUGCAAGUCGAGCGGAUGAAGGGAGCUUGCUCCCUGAUUCAGCGGCGGACGGGUGAGUAAUGCCUAGGAAUCUGCCUGGUAGUGGGGGACAACGUUUCGAAAGGAACGCUAAUACCGCAUACGUCCUACGGGAGAAAGCAGGGGACCUUCGGGCCUUGCGCUAUCAGAUGAGCCUAGGUCGGAUUAGCUAGUUGGUGAGGUAAUGGCUCACCAAGGCUGCGAUCCGUAACUGGUCUGAGAGGAUGAUCAGUCACACUGGAACUGAGACACGGUCCAGACUCCUACGGGAGGCAGCAGUGGGGAAUAUUGGACAAUGGGCGAAAGCCUGAUCCAGCCAUGCCGCGUGUGUGAAGAAGGUCUUCGGAUUGUAAAGCACUUUAAGUUGGGAGGAAGGGCAGUAAGUUAAUACCUUGCUGUUUUGACGUUACCGACAGAAUAAGCACCGGCUAACUUCGUGCCAGCAGCCGCGGUAAUACGAAGGGUGCAAGCGUUAAUCGGAAUUACUGGGCGUAAAGCGCGCGUAGGUGGUUUGUUAAGUUGGAAGUGAAAGCCCCGGGCUCAACCUGGGAACUGCUUUCAAAACUGGCAAGCUAGAGUAUGGCAGAGGGUGGUGGAAUUUCCUGUGUAGCGGUGAAAUGCGUAGAUAUAGGAAGGAACACCAGUGGCGAAGGCGACCACCUGGGCUAAUACUGACACUGAGGUGCGAAAGCGUGGGGAGCAAACAGGAUUAGAUACCCUGGUAGUCCACGCCGUAAACGAUGUCGACUAGCCUUUGGGAUCCUUGAGAUCUUAGUGGCGCAGCUAACGCAUUAAGUCGACCGCCUGGGGAGUACGGCCGCAAGGUUAAAACUCAAAUGAAUUGACGGGGGCCCGCACAAGCGGUGGAGCAUGUGGUUUAAUUCAAAGCAACGCGAAGAACCUUACCAGGCCUUGACAUGCAGAGAACUUUCCAGAAAUGGAUUGGUGCCUUCGGGAGCUCUGACACAAGUGCUGCAUGGCUGUCGUCACCUCGUGUCGUGAGAUGUUGGGUUAAGUCCCGUAACGAGCGCAACCCUUGUCCUUAGUUACCAGCACGUAAUGGUGGGCACUCUAAGGAGACUGCCGGUAACAACCCGCAAGAAAGUUGGGGAUGACGUCAAGUCAUCAUGGCCCUUACGGCCUGGGCUACAACCCUGCCUACAAGGUCGGUAAAAAGGGUUGCCAAGCCCCGGGGGGGAACUAUUCCCCAAAAAACCAAUUUAAUUCCGGAUACAAAUUGGGAACUCGACUGCGUGAAGUCGGAAUCGCUAGUAAUCGUGAAUCAGAAUGUCACGGUGAAUACGUUCCCGGGCCUUGUACACACCGCCCGUCACACCAUGGGAGUGGGUUGCUCCAGAAGUAGCUAGUCUAACCUUCGGGAGGACGGUACCACGGAGGAUCAGGC